GUUUUUUAUUCUCCUAAUAAAGUUUUAUUCUAGCUAGGAAAUUCCCUGUUGGAUUGGUUCACAUGUAAGGAGUAAUCGUGUUGUGGAGGGUUUGCCUAAAAGGUGCCUGAUGAUUGGAGUGGUAUUCGCAGUGUUUUGUAUUGGUGGUCAAGAAACUUUGGAACCGGUAAUUUGAAUAGCUCCGGCAAAACUCGUGCCAGCCGCCGCGGUUACACGAAGGGGGUAAGGGUAUUUUAUUGGUUUGUAAUUGGCUUUGGGGACGGCUAGAGAGAAAGGUUUGUUGGGUGAAAUUUUAAACCUCAAGUUAGCCCGAGAAUGGAUAAGUGAAGUUAUGAAAUCUGGGAAGAAAACUAGGAUUAGAUACCCUACUAUUCCAGAUGUUAAGUAGAAGCCAGAGUAGUAAUAGUUAUGUUCUUGAAACUCAAAGAAUUUGGCGGUGUUUUAGUCCGUUCAGAGGAACCUGUCCCAUGAUUGAUAAUCCACGUUAGACUUAACUUAGGGUUAUUCAGCUUGUAUACCGCCGUCGAAAGAGGAAUUCAGAAGAAUCCCCUCCAAUCCCUGCAGUAAGGUAGAUGUCAGGUCAAGGUGCAGCUUAUCCCUAAGGGGAGAUGGGUUACAAUAAGGGUACUUAAACGGAAGUACACAGGAAGAGGUGAACUAGAAGGUGGAUUUGAAUGUAAUUGGGUUUUAAUUAAAACCCAUGAAAUAGGCUCUAAAACAAGCACACAUCGCCCGUCGCUCUCGUUUAUUUAAGGCGAGAUAAGUCGUAACAAAGUAGGUGUACCGGAAGGUGCUUCUAGAACGAG
This 806-nucleotide non-coding RNA is filed under the name Maccaffertium mediopunctatum. Lineage: Eukaryota; Metazoa; Arthropoda; Insecta; Ephemeroptera; Heptageniidae. The record is from RNAcentral.